RNAcentral lists this ribosomal RNA (459 nucleotides) under uncultured bacterium. RNAcentral describes it as "partial 16S ribosomal RNA". It matches the Rfam family "Bacterial small subunit ribosomal RNA", at positions 338 to 795 of the family's 1533-position model. The record is from RNAcentral.
CCUACGGGAGGCUGCAGUGAGGAAUAUUGGUCAAUGGCCGCAGGGCUGAACCAGCCAAGUCGCGUGAGGGAUGACGGUCCUAUGGAUUGUAAACCUCUUUUGUCAGGGAGCAAAGGGCGCCACGUGUGGCGCUUUGCGAGUACCUGAAGAAAAAGCAUCGGCUAACCCCGUGCCAGCAGCCGCGGUAAUACGGAGGAUGCGAGCGUUAUCCGGAUUUAUUGGGUUUAAAGGGUGCGCAGGCGGAAUGUCAAGUCAGCGGUAAAAUUUCGGGGCUCAACCCCGUCGUGCCGUUGAAACUGGCGUUCUUGAGUGAGCGAGAAGUAUGCGGAAUGCGUGGUGUAGCGGUGAAAUGCAUAGAUAUCACGCAGAACUCCGAUUGCGAAGGCAGCAUACCGGCGCUCAACUGACGCUCAUGCACGAAAGCGUGGGUAUCGAACAGGAUUAGAUACCCGGGUAGUC